GAGCGGAGUGAUGGUGCUUGCACUAUCACUUAGCGGCGGACGGGUGAGUAAUGCUUAGGAAUCUGCCUAUUAGUGGGGGACAACAUUUCGAAAGGAAUGCUAAUACCGCAUACGUCCUACGGGAGAAAGCAGGGGAUCUUCGGACCUUGCGCUAAUAGAUGAGCCUAAGUCGGAUUAGCUAGUUGGUGGGGUAAAGGCCUACCAAGGCGACGAUCUGUAGCGGGUCUGAGAGGAUGAUCCGCCACACUGGGACUGAGACACGGCCCAGACUCCUACGGGAGGCAGCAGUGGGGAAUAUUGGACAAUGGGCGCAAGCCUGAUCCAGCCAUGCCGCGUGUGUGAAGAAGGCCUUAUGGUUGUAAAGCACUUUAAGCGAGGAGGAGGCUACUGAAGUUAAUACCUUCAGAUAGUGGACGUUACUCGCAGAAUAAGCACCGGCUAACUCUGUGCCAGCAGCCGCGGUAAUACAGAGGGUGCAAGCGUUAAUCGGAUUUACUGGGCGUAAAGCGCGCGUAGGCGGCUAAUUAAGUCAAAUGUGAAAUCCCCGAGCUUAACUUGGGAAUUGCAUUCGAUACUGGUUAGCUAGAGUGUGGGAGAGGAUGGUAGAAUUCCAGGUGUAGCGGUGAAAUGCGUAGAGAUCUGGAGGAAUACCGAUGGCGAAGGCAGCCA
RNAcentral lists this ribosomal RNA (669 nucleotides) under Acinetobacter sp. T32. Its description in RNAcentral is "bacterial SSU rRNA". It matches the Rfam family "Bacterial small subunit ribosomal RNA", at positions 64 to 727 of the family's 1533-position model. The record is from RNAcentral. Lineage: Bacteria; Pseudomonadati; Pseudomonadota; Gammaproteobacteria; Moraxellales; Moraxellaceae.